GUCAUUGGUGUGUUUCCUGAUUGUGUCCAGGUGUCUUUAUAUAACCUGCUGUGCUCUAGUCUCGUCAACGUUACCGUCUUGUUUUCGGAUAGUUUCUCAAUUCAUCCGUCCAUUUUCCAUACCACUUAUCUUACACAAGGUCGUGGGGAACCUAUCUCAGGGAUCUCGGGGAAUGACGGGGGUGACACCCUGGACGGGGUGACACCCCAUUGCAGGGCACAAGCUCUCACAAACACGACGGACAAUUUGGAAAUGCCAAUCAGCCUAUAGUUCACGUCUUUGGACUGUGGGAGGAAACCUGGAGGAAACCCAGAGCGGAGGUGGGAUUCGAAACCCAAACCCCAGAGGUACUGGAGUCCUACUGGAAGCACUGACGGUCCAAAUUACAGAAAAUCAUGUCAGGAGUCUCCAUGCCAAUGGGGCGUUGAGGUUUGGAACAGCUUGCUCUUUCAUCAUUUUGGUUGAGGAAAACGCUAUUUGGGCAUUUGCACAUGAAUCUAAAGUGAAAGGCUUCACCACAAGUGGUGGUUUGAUGGUUAAGGCUCUGGGUUGCUGAUCAGAAGGUCGGGGGUGGGUUCAAGCCCCAGCACUGCCAA
Ictalurus furcatus (blue catfish) is the source of this 596-nucleotide long non-coding RNA. RefSeq lists it as uncharacterized. The record is from RefSeq and is a predicted model, not a curated record. The transcript has 3 exons. Lineage: Eukaryota; Metazoa; Chordata; Actinopteri; Siluriformes; Ictaluridae.